Molecule: transfer RNA, 64 nt
Filed under: Cassida viridis
Lineage: Eukaryota; Metazoa; Arthropoda; Insecta; Coleoptera; Chrysomelidae
Description: tRNA-Met
Source: RNAcentral
AAAAAGGUAAGCUAAAUAAAGCUAAUGGGUUCAUACCCCACUUAUGAAUAAAUUUCCCUUUUUA